UACGUAGGGUGCAAGCGUUGUCCGGAAUUAUUGGGCGUAAAGAGCUCGUAGGCGGUUUGUCGCGUCUGCUGUGAAAACCCGUGGCUCAACCACGGGCCUGCAUCCGAUACUGGCGGGCUCGAGGCAGGCAGGGGAGAUCGGAAUUCCUGGUGUAGCGGUGAAAUGCGCAGAUAUCAGGAGGAACACCGGUGGCGAAGGCGGAUCUCUGGGCCUGUCCUGACGCUCAGGCGCGAAAGCUAGGGGAGCAAACAGG
RNAcentral lists this ribosomal RNA (253 nucleotides) under uncultured bacterium. RNAcentral's name for it is "partial 16S ribosomal RNA". It matches the Rfam family "Bacterial small subunit ribosomal RNA", at positions 524 to 776 of the family's 1533-position model. The record is from RNAcentral.